Molecule: long non-coding RNA, 861 nt
Organism: Choloepus didactylus (southern two-toed sloth)
Lineage: Eukaryota; Metazoa; Chordata; Mammalia; Pilosa; Megalonychidae
Exons: 3
Source: RefSeq, a predicted model, not a curated record
AGGCUGUGCUACAAGCAUGGACAGAUCGGCAGCUCGCCAUAACGAUGGAAACGAUGAAAGUUGAGGAAGCUGAGGUUCGGAAGCUACAUGUCUUGACUUUAGGAACCAGAGCCCUGGCUAUCCCGGAACCAUCUCCUGCUCUGUAACCCACUGCCUCUGAGAGCCAUAUGACAGAGGCAGAGAUUGAGUUACGCCACCACAAGUCAAGGAAUGCAGUGGAUUGCUGGUCACCCACCAGAAGCCAGGGAAGAGGCAUGGACCAGAUUCUCCCCUUUAAGACUUGAGAAAGGUGAGCCUGGUGAACUUGGAUGCCAUUUGUUGAAGAGAUGGAACCACAAAAUGAAAGAGGGCUGGAUCCCUAGAUCUCUACUUGGAGAAGAGUUGUGCACUAAUCAGGAAUACAUGUUUUAGACUUUAAGUGAACAAGAGAUAAACUUCUAUCAAUUUUAUGCAAUUGUACAUGUUGGAGCUGUUUUGUUAUAGCAGCUAGAGUUACCUUAACCAAUACAUAUGUGAACUGAACUGAUUUAUCUACUAUCCCUCGAAUAUGCCUCUGGUUUUUGCACAGACUUUUCCUUAGAAUUCUCAUUCUCAUAUUCCUAUGACCUACAUCCUAAAUAUUAUUCAAGGCCUAAACCAAAUCUAAUCACGUCAAAAAACUUUUUUCCACUUCCAACAGCCACAGUGAUAUUUAAUUCCCUCAGCUUCCCUUAGCACUUUGUUUUCUGUAUCUCUCAGGUGUCUUUAUCAAAGCUCUAAUUCUGGGCAUCUUGUUUUCCCAAUGAGAUUGUGAGCUCCUCAAGAUCAAGGAUCAUGUUUUUAUGCUUCCUAUGUGGCUCUGAAGUACAUUACAUGGUGGUG